AGACUUAUCUAGCAGGGAAGAUACCAUGAACAUGAGGGUAGUUUUCCCAAGGCAAGUUUCAACCCUUGCACUGUGGAUGAUGAGAGAUUACUUAAUGGGUACAAUGUAUGUGAUUUGGGUGAUGGAUACUGCAGAAACACUGGCUUACCACUAUGCAAUCUAUGCAUGC
Cebus imitator (Panamanian white-faced capuchin) is the source of this 169-nucleotide small nuclear RNA. Its record names the gene U1. It matches the Rfam family "U1 spliceosomal RNA". From Rfam's summary of the family: U1 is a small nuclear RNA (snRNA) component of the spliceosome (involved in pre-mRNA splicing). Its 5' end forms complementary base pairs with the 5' splice junction, thus defining the 5' donor site of an intron. The record is from Ensembl. Lineage: Eukaryota; Metazoa; Chordata; Mammalia; Primates; Cebidae.